This 425-nucleotide ribosomal RNA is filed under the name uncultured bacterium. RNAcentral's name for it is "bacterial SSU rRNA". It matches the Rfam family "Bacterial small subunit ribosomal RNA", at positions 917 to 1341 of the family's 1533-position model. The record is from RNAcentral.
GGGCCCGCACAAGCGGUGGAGCAUGUGGUUUAAUUCGAUGCAACGCGAAAAACCUUACCUACCUUUGACAUCCUAGGAAUCUCUUAGUGAUAAGAGAGUGCCUUCGGGAACCUGGAGACAGGUGCUGCAUGGCUGUCGUCAGCUCGUGUCGUGAGAUGUUGGGUUAAGUCCCGUAACGAGCGCAACCCUCAUCCUUAGUUGCCAGCGCAUAAUGGCGGGGACUCUAAGGAAACUGCCGGUGACAAACCGGAGGAAGGUGGGGAUGAUGUCAAGUCAUCAUGGCCCUUACAGGUAGGGCUACACACGUGCUACAAUGGGCAGUACAGAGGGUCGCAAAGCCGCGAGGUGGAGCUAAUCCCAAAAAGCUGCUCUCAGUCCGGAUUGGAGCCUGCAACUCGGCUCCAUGAAGUCGGAAUCGCUAGUAA